ACCGGGCGCGGUGGCUCACGCCUGUAAUCCCAGCACUUUGGGAGGCUGAGGCGGGUGGAUCACAAGGUCAGGAGAUCGAGACCAUCCUGGCUAACACAGUGAAACCCCGGGUUUCACUGUGUUAGCCAGGAUGGUCUCGAUCUCCUGACCUCGUGAUCCACCCGCCUCGG
RNAcentral lists this non-coding RNA (170 nucleotides) under Chlorocebus sabaeus (green monkey). Lineage: Eukaryota; Metazoa; Chordata; Mammalia; Primates; Cercopithecidae. The record is from Rfam by way of RNAcentral.